GAUGAACGCUGGCGGCGUGCCUAACACAUGCAAGUCGAACGGUAACGCGCCUUCCUUUGUUGUCGGGUGGCAACCGCGGGCGUAUGACAAAGGAACGUGCACCCUCCUGGGAAAUAACGAAGAGCAACCGUUACCAAGAGCGCAUACGAUCUAAUAUUUUAAACCGGUGGCCUCAAGGGUUUGCGCCGGCCUUGCUGUCGAUGGUAGAUGGGUUCGCGCUGGAUUAGCUAGUUGGUCAGGUAAAAGCUUACCAAGGCGACGAUGUGUAGCCGGCCUGAGAGGAUGAUCAGCCACACUGGGACUGAGACACGGCCCAGACUCCUACGGGAGGCAGCAGUAGGGAAUUUUGGGCAAUGGGCGAAAGCCUGAUGGAGCAACGCCGCGUGAGGGAUGAAGGUCUUCGGAUCGUAAACUUCUUUUAUAAGGAAAGAAAAGCUUUGUUUGUAUCUGGGAGGGUCUUGACGGUACCUAAAGAAAAAGCACCGGCUAACUACGUG
Molecule: ribosomal RNA, 497 nt
Filed under: uncultured bacterium
Lineage: Bacteria
Description: partial 16S ribosomal RNA
Rfam family: Bacterial small subunit ribosomal RNA
Source: RNAcentral